CCACCGAUAGCUCAGUAGGUAGAGCGGAGGACUGUAGAACCUUUUGUCGCUGGUUCGAAUCCGGCUCGGUGGA
RNAcentral lists this transfer RNA (73 nucleotides) under Lytechinus variegatus (green sea urchin). RNAcentral's name for it is "tRNA-Tyr". It matches the Rfam family "tRNA". Rfam says of the family: Transfer RNA (tRNA) molecules are approximately 80 nucleotides in length. Their secondary structure includes four short double-helical elements and three loops (D, anti-codon, and T loops). Lineage: Eukaryota; Metazoa; Echinodermata; Echinoidea; Temnopleuroida; Toxopneustidae. The record is from RNAcentral.